Molecule: ribosomal RNA, 292 nt
Filed under: uncultured bacterium
Lineage: Bacteria
Description: partial 16S ribosomal RNA
Rfam family: Bacterial small subunit ribosomal RNA
Source: RNAcentral
GUGCCAGCCGCCGCGGUAAUACGUAGGUGGCAAGCGUUAUCCGGAAUUAUUGGGCGUAAAGCGCGCGCAGGUGGUUUCUUAAGUCUGAUGUGAAAGCCCACGGCUCAACCGUGGAGGGUCAUUGGAAACUGGGAGACUUGAGUGCAGAAGAGGAAAGUGGAAUUCCAUGUGUAGCGGUGAAAUGCGUAGAGAUAUGGAGGAACACCAGUGGCGAAGGCGACUUUCUGGUCUGUAACUGACACUGAGGCGCGAAAGCGUGGGGAGCAAACAGGAUUAGAAACCCUUGUAGUCC